Molecule: ribosomal RNA, 640 nt
Filed under: uncultured Vibrionaceae bacterium
Lineage: Bacteria; Pseudomonadati; Pseudomonadota; Gammaproteobacteria; Vibrionales; Vibrionaceae
Description: bacterial SSU rRNA
Rfam family: Bacterial small subunit ribosomal RNA
Source: RNAcentral
AUUGAACGCUGGCGGCAGGCUUAACACAUGCAAGUCGAGCGGUAACAGGAAUAGCUUGCUAUUUGCUGACGAGCGGCGGACGGGUGAGUAAUGCUUGGGAAUAUGCCUUAUGGUGGGGGACAACAGUUGGAAACGACUGCUAAUACCGCAUAAUGUCUACGGACCAAAGGGGGGGAUCUUCGGACCUCUCGCCAUUUGAUUAGCCCAAGUGAGAUUAGCUAGUUGGUAAGGUAAUGGCUUACCAAGGCGACGAUCUCUAGCUGGUUUGAGAGGAUGAUCAGCCACACUGGGACUGAGACACGGCCCAGACUCCUACGGGAGGCAGCAGUGGGGAAUAUUGCACAAUGGGGGGAACCCUGAUGCAGCCAUGCCGCGUGUGUGAAGAAGGCCUUCGGGUUGUAAAGCACUUUCAGUUGUGAGGAAAGGUGUGUAGUUAAUAGCUGCAUACUGUGACGUUAACAACAGAAGAAGCACCGGCUAACUUCGUGCCAGCAGCCGCGGUAAUACGAGGGGUGCAAGCGUUAAUCGGAAUUACUGGGCGUAAAGCGUUCGUAGGCGGUUGAAUAAGCAAGAUGUGAAAGCCCAGGGCUCAACCUUGGAACUGCAUUUUGAACUGUUCGACUAAAGUACUGUAGAGGGA